UAACAAGGAUUCCCCUAGUAACUGCGAGUGAAGCGGGAAAAGCUCAAAUUUAAAAUCUGGCGGUCUUCGGCCGUCCGAGUUGUAGUCUGGAGAAGCGUCUUCCGCGUCGGACCGUGUACAAGUCUCUUGGAACAGAGCGUCAUAGAGGGUGAGAAUCCCGUCUUUGACACGGACUACCGAUGCUUUGUGAUGCGCUCUCAAAGAGUCGAGUUGUUUGGGAAUGCAGCUCAAAAUGGGUGGUAAAUUCCAUCUAAAGCUAAAUAUUGGCGAGAGACCGAUAGCGAACAAGUACCGUGAGGGAAAGAUGAAAAGCACUUUGGAAAGAGAGUUAAACAGUACGUGAAAUUGCUGAAAGGGAAACGAUUGAAGUCAGUCGCGUCGUUCAGAACUCAACCUUGCCUUCGGGCUCGGUGCACUUUCUGUUUGACGGGCCAGCAUCAGUUUUGACUGUCGGAAAAAGGUCUUCGGAAUGUGGCACCUCCGGGUGUGUUAUAGCCGUUGGUCGUAUACGACGGUUGGGACUGAGGACCGCAGCACGCCUUUUGGCCGGGGUUCGCCCACGUACUGGCCUUAGGAUGCUGGGCGUAAUGGCUUUAAACGAC
This 602-nucleotide ribosomal RNA is filed under the name Phlebia tremellosa. RNAcentral's name for it is "eukaryotic LSU rRNA". It matches the Rfam family "Eukaryotic large subunit ribosomal RNA", at positions 66 to 648 of the family's 3401-position model. The record is from RNAcentral. Lineage: Eukaryota; Fungi; Basidiomycota; Agaricomycetes; Polyporales; Meruliaceae.